GUGAGGUAAUGGCUCACCAAGGCUAAGACGGGUAGCCGGACUGAGAGGUUGAACGGCCACACUGGAACUGAGACACGGUCCAGACUCCUACGGGAGGCAGCAGUGGGGAAUUUUGCGCAAUGGGCGAAAGCCUGACGCAGCGACGCCGCGUGGGGGAAGAAGGCCUUCGGGUUGUAAACUCCUUUCGUGAGGGAAAAAGUCCCGAGCAAUCGGGAUGAUGGUACCUCAAGAAGAAGCCACGGCUAACUCUGUGCCAGCAGCCGCGGUAGGACAGAGGUGGCAAGCGUUGUUCGGAUUUACUGGGCUUAAAGGGCGUGUAGGCGUCCUGAUAAGUCAGAUGUGGAAGCCUUGGGCUUAACCCAAGAAUUGCAUUUGAAACUGUCGGGAUUGAGUCGUGCAUGGGAGGGCGGAAUUCCUGGUGUAGCGGUGAAAUGCGUAGAUAUCAGGAGGAAGGCCGGUGGUGAAGACGGCCCUCUGGGCAAUGACUGACGCUGAGGCGCGAAAGCGUGGGUAGCAAACAGGAUUAGAUACCCUGGUAGUCCACGCCCUAAACGGUGGGUACUAGGUGUGGGUGUCGAUAGGCAUCCGUGCCAAAGGUAAACCGUUAAGUA
This 611-nucleotide ribosomal RNA is filed under the name uncultured Actinobacteridae bacterium. RNAcentral's name for it is "bacterial SSU rRNA". It matches the Rfam family "Bacterial small subunit ribosomal RNA", at positions 252 to 866 of the family's 1533-position model. The record is from RNAcentral. Lineage: Bacteria; Bacillati; Actinomycetota; Actinomycetes.